UGAAACACGGACCAAGGAGUCUAGCGUAUGUGCGAGUCAUUGGGUGGUAAACCUAUUGGCGCAGCGAAAGUAAAGGUCGACUUGUUCGGCUGAUAUGGGAUCCGUGUAGUUUCUGCUGCGCGGUGCACCAUAGCCCUGUCUCGAAGACUUGUCUUGAGAUGGAGAUAGAGCGCAUACGCUAGGACCCGAAAGAUGGUGAACUAUACGUGAGCAGGACGAAGCCGGAGGAAACUCUGGUGGAAGUCCGUAACGGUUCUGACGUGCAAAUCGAUCGUCUGACUUGCGUAUAGGGGCGAAAGACUAAUCGAACCAUCUAGUAGCUGGUUCCCUCUGAAGUUUCCCCCAGGAUAGCAGGAGUUCAUAUCAGUUAUAUUCGGUAAAGCGAAUGAUUAGAGGAAUUGGGGGCGUAAAGCCCUCAACCUAUUCUCAAACUUUCAAUGGGUAUGAAGUUUCGGUUUCUUAAGUGAACCGUGACGCUGAAUGAGAGCUCCCAGGGGGCCAUUUUUGGUAAGCA
The sequence is a ribosomal RNA, 514 nucleotides long. It matches the Rfam family "Eukaryotic large subunit ribosomal RNA", at positions 655 to 1146 of the family's 3401-position model.